ACUCUAAGAAAUAGAAAUGAGUAGGAAUCAUACAAGUAUAGAGACGGGGAUAGAAUGCCAAAUAUAGAGAACACGUAGGUGAAAUUGGCUGCAGUAUAGAAUGUAUGAAGGACAAUCAUGUGUAAUAAACCUGGCAGGAUGGCUCAGAGCCAGUGUGAAGAGCUUUAAAUGCAAACAGGAGUUUGCAUUUUUCAUAAUGACAAUAGAGAGUCACUAGAGUUUCUUGAGGAGGGUGGUACCAUGAUCUGAACUGUGGUUAAGGAAUAUCAAUCAUUUUGAUAGCUAUUCAGAAUUUAACAGAGACUCGAAAUAUUGCCACAGUCCCAGCAAAGAGAAUGGGAAGAAGGGUACAAAGGAGAUGUUCCCGGGAUUGUAGAUCUGAAAGUGAAAGGGACCUUGGAGGACUUCUAGUCUAACUUCCUCUUCCUACAGAUGAGGAAAUUUUAGGCCCACGAGGCUGUGACUUGGUCAAACACGUGGUGAUAGAGCUAAAAUGGGCACUGCAGUUCUUGGAUUCCCAAUAUCAACAAGACUUAGCGUCUCAUUGGACAGCGUGAGUGAGGAAGGAUAAGGAGUUAAGGAAGAUACCAAGAUUAUGACUCUGUGACUAGAAGGAGAGCAGUUACUUUAGAAAUUCAGAAAAGAGAUGAGGAAACUUCGGCCAACAGGGUUAAAUGACUUGCCCAAACACACAUUUUGUCUGAGAAGUGUCUGAGGCUGGAUCUAAAUUGAGGUCUUCCUGACUCCAGGAACUCCAAUCCAUUUCACCACCUACCUGUUUGAGACAUUCCGUAUAUGCUUAAUAAAAUUAAUAAUUAUAGCACAA
Molecule: long non-coding RNA, 826 nt
Organism: Antechinus flavipes (yellow-footed antechinus)
Lineage: Eukaryota; Metazoa; Chordata; Mammalia; Dasyuromorphia; Dasyuridae
Exons: 2
Source: RefSeq, a predicted model, not a curated record